GCCAGACUCCUACGGGAGGCAGCAGUGGGGAAUAUUGCACAAUGGGGGAAACCCUGAUGCAGCGACGCCGCGUGAGCGAUGAAGUAUUUCGGUAUGUAAAGCUCUCUCAGCAGGGAAGAAGAUGACGGUACCUGACUAAGAAGCCCCGGCUAACUACGUGCCAGCAGCCGCGGUAAUACGUAGGGGGCAAGCGUUAUCCGGAUUUACUGGGUGUAAAGGGAGCGUAGACGGCCAUGCAAGCCAGGGGUGAAAGCCCGGGGCCCAACCCCGGGACUGCCCUUGGAACUGCAUGGCUAGAGUGCGGGAGGGGCAGGCGGAAUUCCUGGUGUAGCGGUGAAAUGCGUAGAUAUCAGGAGGAACACCGGCGGCGAAGGCGGCCUGCUGGACCGCGACUGACGUUGAGGCUCGAAAGCGUGGGGAGCGAACAGGAUUAGAUACCCUUGUAA
This 446-nucleotide ribosomal RNA is filed under the name uncultured bacterium. RNAcentral's name for it is "bacterial SSU rRNA". It matches the Rfam family "Bacterial small subunit ribosomal RNA", at positions 330 to 793 of the family's 1533-position model. The record is from RNAcentral.